UGGGGAAUAUUGGACAAUGGGCGCAAGCCUGAUCCAGCCAUGCCGCGUGAGUGAUGAAGGCCCUAGGGUUGUAAAGCCCUUUCACCGGUGAAGAUAAUGACGGUAACCGGAGAAGAAGCCCCGGCUAACUUCGUGCCAGCAGCCGCGGUAAUACGAAGGGGGCUAGCGUUGUUCGGAUUUACUGGGCGUAAAGCGCACGUAGGCGGACUUUUAAGUCAGGGGUGAAAUCCCGGGGCUCAACCCCGGAACUGCCUUUGAUACUGGAAGUCUUGAGUAUGGUAGAGGUGAGUGGAAUUCCGAGUGUAGAGGUGAAAUUCGUAGAUAUUCGGAGGAAAACCAGUGGCGAAGGCGGCUCACUGGACGAUUACUGACGCUGAGGUGCGAAAGCGGGGGGAGCAAACAGG
This 404-nucleotide ribosomal RNA is filed under the name Actinomycetes bacterium. Its description in RNAcentral is "Actinobacteria bacterium partial 16S ribosomal RNA". It matches the Rfam family "Bacterial small subunit ribosomal RNA", at positions 355 to 776 of the family's 1533-position model. Lineage: Bacteria; Bacillati; Actinomycetota; Actinomycetes. The record is from RNAcentral.